Molecule: non-coding RNA, 1313 nt
Organism: Bactrocera oleae (olive fruit fly)
Lineage: Eukaryota; Metazoa; Arthropoda; Insecta; Diptera; Tephritidae
Source: RefSeq, a predicted model, not a curated record
AUAUUAUAUAUUUUGUAUGUAUUGAAAAUAUGUAAAUACCAACAAUAUAAGAAAAAUUUCUUCUAUCUCUGUAGCACUCUUGAAAAUAAUAUCAUAUGGUCUAAUUACAAACUAAUAGAGCUUAAUUAGAAGCCAACUCGCAUUCACGUGCACUCUUGCCAGUCACGCAUGCGCACCACAGCCCCACAUCUAUUUAAAAAUUAACGUAGCACACUCGUUCAGCAAUGACUAUACUCGUAUACUCUGCCAUGGAUGCCUCGUAGGAGUUUAAAAUCGAUAUGUUUAAAAUUCAUUCAUUCAUUUCUCCUUCAAUCGCAAUUGUACUCAUACCGGGACCCACCUACCACAGACCUUUGGCGAUAAUUCUUUAUAAUUGUGUGACAUCAUCCUCUACGCCAGACGGCUCAACAGCCAUGUAGGAAUACAUGAAUGCAUUAAUAUAUGUGGCAAUCGACGGUGGCAGGCGCGACAAUCAAUUCAAGAAACACGUAUUCAUCAUCGUCGUUGGCAACAGCUGAGAGACGCCUUCUACCUUUAGCCACCAUGGGAUUUUUUUCUUGAAGCGUUUUAAAGCAUUGUGCAAAGGACAGCCGAACAAUUUAGACUCCGCCUUUUGUCUCCAAUUGUAAAUCAUUCAAAAUUUAAUACCAUUCAAAAUUUGAGUAGCAUGUCUGAUAAUGAAUAGAUAAACACUUGCAUGCGUACAUCCAUGUCUACCUACAAAUGUGUGUAAGUGAAUUUGUUUACAGAUUUGUUGUGGCAUUUGUGAUAUUGUUGAACUGUCAGUUGUAGUCCAAAAUAAAAAUGUAUGCCCCGAGGGAUAAGUUCUAUUGUCGACACUGUGUGGGUGGCUAAGUGUUAUUAUUAUUCUAUUUUAUUUGUUUGAUUAUGUAGUUCUGUUUUGACUGCUCUUUGCGGGAGUGCUAUUGUUUGUAUGUAUCUUCGCCGGCAGCUUUGACAUUGGGAUGCCAUGGAUUAAGCGCCGUCAUAAUUUACACUCAGGGUGGCUCGCAAACAAAUUCAAUAUGCUUUCAAUUGUUGCAGGUCGGAACAAAUUGGUAUGGGUUUGGUGAGUAUAAUACGAUUUUGAAAAACAAUUUGUAAACUUGACAUUGUCGGUUGAGUUCUAAUAUGAUGUCAUGGUUAAACGGAUAUAAAUUUAUUAGUAAUAAUUAUGUUAGAAAAAUAAUUAAUUUGUCUAAAUAACUUUUUCGGAUGAAAUUAUUACACAAAAUGAAUAUGUUAAACGAAUACGAAUUACAAAAGACUAUGUUUACAAAAAUUAAAUAUAAACUAAAAUGUGACAAAAAUGU